AUUAUAACAGCUCAAGUUUCAAACAAAAUUAAAUGAAAGCUUUUAAUAAGUUCUCUACAGUAAGUAUUUAUGUAUUUUAUUAUAUAAUUCAUUGGCGGUCUCUUUACCAUGCAUGAAAACACAUUGCUCGCGUAUCCUGUGCCCAUGUCUCGUCACAUUUCAUUAUUUCUAUUUUUGCCAUAAAAAAGUCUCUCUCUCUUGGUCCCUCUCCUCCUUCGUGACUAACAACUUUAUCAUAAGACGUCCCAAAUGACAGUUUCCCUGAUUUCAGUCAGUUAAGCAUAUUUAUAAUAUAUAUGGAAUGAAUAAAAACGAGUUGGCACGCAUAUAGCGGCUGCAGUGCAUAACAGAAGAGCAGUGCGUAGAAUAAGACAGCAGCUGUCUUCUACGUUUCUAUCAAAAACUAAUAAAUUAUAGUUUUAUAGAUUACAAAGGAAAUGUUUACUGUUCAUUUUUUUAUUUAUUUAUUGUAUGGAAAAAUCCCACUUAAAGAAACAGACCGCCAUUACAUUUUUCCUCUCGCGCACCCCCUGGUGGCAGCUCGCGUACCCCUGGGGGUCCGCGUACCACACUUUGGGAAUCCCUGCACUAGAGCAAAGGCGACAUCAUUGGUGUAUCAAGUAUGUACAAGAACUAAGUAAAUGAUAAUAAGUAAAGAAAUAUGGAAUCCGUUAAGUAAAUGUAAAUGUUUUAAUAUAAUAUACAAGUAAAAAUAAAUAAAAUAGCAGCGAUUUCUUUGCUUUUAAUGAUACACAGCUGCUAGGUUCCAUUAUUCCGAAGCAGGAGGGGGCAGUAAUGUACAUACGCUGGUUGCCAGCCGCCGUUAAUACUCAAGUAAGUUAGAGAAAAGGCAACUCGGAAAAGUGAGGAAAAAUAAGGGAUUAUUGGCUUGUUUUACACGUAUCAUUGUUUUGUGUUCCCCUCCUUCGUAAAAAAACUGACAAUUCCACGUCAACUCGAACACGCAAAACCCCGGUAUGAAGCAUUGUUAUGAGCAUGCCAAACCAACAGAUGGCGAUAUAUUCCUUAACCCAGAGAAGCCACUCCAGUCUCUUCUUGCCAUGAACAAGGAAAAAGUGCGGGAGCUGACUUAGCAGACGUACGUGGUUCAGGUAAGUUUUCGACAAAAAUCUUAUAUUAAAAGUCAUAAAAGUUAGUAUAAGGCACUCCGUCUACUACAGCACAGCAAAUAAAGUAACGUUUGUAGUACUAGCAGCGCUAUUCAGAUUUGAGGCAUUUUUGCUAAAAUGUUUGUGUAUUAUUUAAUAGAGAUUAUAAUUUCCAUUAUUUUUAUCAAUCUAAAUACCUUUCACUUGUUCAGUAUUGUGUUUUUGUUGCUAUAUAAACGAUGAACUUAAUAUAGGCAGAUGGCCAUUGCUUUUCUGAACAGUAGUUAGAAGUAUUCUGAGGUAAUUUAAAUUUUAGGAAAAAUAUGAGGAUGAUUAUCGAUGAUUAUAUAAUUGAGUUCAAUAACAUGGUAAUUUUGGCUGUUUCAUUUCAUUAUGAGUGUUUGUUUGAUGUUUAAAUGAUCAACAUAAUAUUAUGGUUAAUUGUUCUGUCCCGUUUGUUAGAAAAGCUUUUGCAAAUAUCUUGUCUGAGGUAAAUUGUCAUUUUAAACACAUUUAGUGAGUGUGAAUAAUAUGAUUUUUGUCUCUAUAUAUAUUUAUGAUGCUCUGGCAGUUUUAGUUACUGUAUAAAGUGUAUUAUUAUGAUCUAUCUGUAUGAUAGUUUGAGUGCUUACAAUGGCAGCAAAUUUAAAAACAAAACAAACAAGAGAUGUUUACAUUGACAUUAUUUAAGUUAGUUCAGAUUCUUUGACAACCAUUUUGUUAUGCACAGUGCAAUCUGAUUUACGUUAUUGUAUAUCAGAUGUAUGAAAUGUACAGUGAUUUAAUGAACAGGUGUUUCAUAUCAUAGUCAUUUGCCAUACUGUGGAUUUUUAACACAUCAAGGGCUGGAAAUGACUAAAUAAAUUUCUUGCCUUUUUCCUUAGCUAAUAUUUCCCUCAUAUAUGUUUCCUCUCUUCUUGUGUGUUAACAGGUCAUUGGCACUGUUGUAUCACAACAUCAUUUGCUGGCAUGUACAUCUAGGAUGCGAUCUUUCCAGAUGAGAUUCUCUCCAAUGCCAGCAAACCGACAGUGGAACACACGAGCCAGCACUUCUCCCACCACAUUGCCUCAGGCUUUUGAGAUACCCACUUAUAACUGCUUCUCCCCCCUAUGUUGGGAUCACCGGGGCCUCCAUCGCCGGCAUGUACACGCUACAUUAGGUGUAGAAAUUAUGUGAGCUGCAGUCUGGAUCCUGCUUCUGUCAGAUGACCUAACACAAAUGGAAAGAUGACAUCGACCCUUGCAAGGACUUCAGACGAUGCCAGCACUGGACUACAUACAGUGGUAAUCAUAUUUUCAGUAGUCCGUGUCAAAUAUUAUUUCAAGUGCCCAAACGGCAUUUGGAAUUUACCCAAACAUACGCAACAGCUAAACAGAGAUUCGCGGCAGCAGAAGAGAUGGCUAGUCAGGAGGAGCAAUCCGAUGAAAAGUUGGCAUUUUCAAGGUGGAGAUAUAAGCACUACUUCAAAUUCAUUGUGGUCAAAGCAAGAACGUGCAUGUAAUGUGUACAUUAUGUCCGGGAGCGAAGACUUUGUCGACAUCCAUUGUAAGCAACUCUAAUUUAAUGAAUCAUAUUGUUAAACUGCUUUUUUAAUGAAUAAAACGAAAUACAGCAGCCUAUGUCUUCCAGACUAUUUAUCUCAGUUUGAUUUAUUUAAUUUGCUACAGUUAUUGCAAACACACUUUAUAUUAUUUAACUGUUUACUUUUGAAGAAAAUACCUGAAGUACAGAAUGUCUACCAGACCAGUUGUCUGACAUUGGGAGUUUGAUUUAUUUUAAUUAAGAAUACGACUACAGAGCAAACACACUUUUUGUUGUUUAAAAGUUAACUUUUUGUGAACAAAACACUUGGAAGUACAGGUUGUUUACUUGACCAGUUGUCUCAGGUUGAGAGAGUUUUAUUUAAUUUAGUUUGCUGAAGUUAAAUGCACUUUAUAUGGUGUAACUGUUUACUUAUCUUACAAAGAUAAUACUUGAAGUGUAGGAUAAAACUCUUGCUGUCUGUUGAUGUGCAAUAAAUAUGGAAAUUUAUGUAUGAACACCUGUCUGUUCUACUCAUUUCAACUGACAUGUGAAAACUGCUAAAAAAUACAAAUUCUUUGACAUAUAGCAACUUUUUUUUUUAACCGUAACGCAAAUAGUUACUUUCCCUGGUAACGAGUUACUUUUAUUAUAGAGUAAUUGAGUUACUAACUCAGUUACUUUUUGGAACAAGUAGUGAGUAACUAUAACUAAUUACUUUUUUUAAGUAACGUUCCCAACACUGGUGAUCACACAGGCCCUGUUUAUGUUCUUAACCGGCAUGAGUUUAUUUAUUGUGAUAUACACAAAACAAGAUAUUUUGAUAAAUGAUGUUAAGUACACAGCUGCUCAUUUACUUCAAUAAAAUGUAUUUUUCCUAUUAUGGAAGUCAUUGGGUACCAUCAACUGUAUAAUUGACAUCAUUUAUCAGAUUAAAGAAUUUUUGGCAAGUUUAUAACAACAUGAAGGUGAGUAAAUGAUACAAUUAUUAUUUUUUACGUAAACUUUUAGCUUUGAAGGAUUAUUUACUCAACCCAAUGUCAUCCAAGAUGUUUGUCUUUCUUUCUUUAGCCAAACACAAUUAGAGUUAUAUUAAAUACUGUCCUGGCCAGUGGCGGCUCGUGACUGCUCUUCUGAGGGGUGCAAAUUCAAAAUAAGUGUUCAGAGUGUCAUGUGUGUUGCUCGUGUUUUCAAAAAUAUGUGUUUGUUGCGUCAUGUAAACCAUGUGCAUCACGUGUCUUGUCAAAAGAAGUGCCUGCUGCACACGCGUCAAAACCGUUUAUGAUAAAAGAGAUGCUCACGUUCACAAAAUACACGCAACACAUCUAGACGACAUCUUCCUAAUGAGCAGACGCUCCCUGAGCGACAUCAUGCCGAUGGAACUUUGAAAGUCGGCACAACGUCGGCCAGAUGUAUGUGUGCUGUCUGGGAAAUUUGUCUCAUCACAAUACCCAUAACCAUGGAAUUUUUUGUUAAACUAAGGUAAUACAAAUCAUAAUCAAUCUGACAAAAACCAUUUUGUCAAUAGUUAAAAUUAUGGUUAAAUUUUCUAAGGAGAACUAUACAAAAUUAUCUGUUUGAAAGACGGGGAAGCGCACCUGUCAAUCAGCGCUAUUAUAACAGAGCGAGGCGAGAGAUGAACGUACGGAGCUUCUGAGGGGACAUUUGCAAAAAAAUAAAUAAAUAAGACUUUUGCGUGCUCACGAGAAACUAUCGCAUGCUCACGAGAAACCUUUCUCGAGCCCACGAGAAACCUUUCUCGUGCGCACGCGUUAGUGCAUUGUGCCUGCUAUUUAUAAAACAGCCUCUA
Paramisgurnus dabryanus is the source of this 4441-nucleotide long non-coding RNA. RefSeq lists it as uncharacterized. The record is from RefSeq and is a predicted model, not a curated record. NCBI's taxonomy places the organism in Eukaryota, Metazoa, Chordata, Actinopteri, Cypriniformes, Cobitidae.